RNAcentral lists this ribosomal RNA (110 nucleotides) under bacterium LF-3. The record is from RNAcentral. RNAcentral also lists the same sequence under 1 other name.
UCUGGUAAUGAUAGCAUGAUGGACACACCUGUACCCAUUCCGAACACAGAAGUUAAGCAUCAUCGCGGCGAAGAUAGUACAUUGUGCGAAAAUAGCUCGUUGCCAGUUCC